RNAcentral lists this long non-coding RNA (285 nucleotides) under Phasianus colchicus (ring-necked pheasant). RNAcentral describes it as "lncRNA (ENSPCLG00000013390.1)". The record is from RNAcentral. Lineage: Eukaryota; Metazoa; Chordata; Aves; Galliformes; Phasianidae.
CUCUGAAGUUGUUUAGCCUUAUUUGAAAAUGCCUUAUGCAUUAUUUCAGGUGUAAGAAGAUGAUGAUGAGAGGCCUGCAGAAGCCAGGCAAAGAAGCCUUGAAUGCUGCCUAGACCUCUGUUAACCUUUCGUCCUGCCAUCCACCAUCCUGCCAAUAGGUGCUGGUCUGAACCUGACUGCAGAGCGCCGAGGGCUGUGAGACUGAGCAGCUUAAAAGGGAGCAGAGUACUGCAUCCUCCCAGCACGGCCUGGGAGAAGAAAAGAAUAAAUGGAGAAGCAUUGCAG